GCUGGGCAUGGUGGCGCAUGCCUGUAGUUCCAGCUACUAGGGAGGCUGAGGCAGGAGAAUUGCUUGAAUCCAGGAGGCAGAGGUUGCAGUGAGACAAGAUCAUGCCACUGCACUCUAGCCUGAGUGACAGAGCAAGACUCUGUCUCAA
Molecule: non-coding RNA, 148 nt
Organism: Homo sapiens (human)
Lineage: Eukaryota; Metazoa; Chordata; Mammalia; Primates; Hominidae
Rfam family: Metazoan signal recognition particle RNA
About the family: The signal recognition particle (SRP) is a universally conserved ribonucleoprotein. It is involved in the co-translational targeting of proteins to membranes.
Source: Rfam